This is a long non-coding RNA of Oncorhynchus keta (chum salmon), 1959 nucleotides long. RefSeq lists it as uncharacterized. The transcript has 3 exons. The record is from RefSeq and is a predicted model, not a curated record. Lineage: Eukaryota; Metazoa; Chordata; Actinopteri; Salmoniformes; Salmonidae.
GAACUACAGUAAAUGAAGUGGAUUUGUACUACACAUAAUUAUGCAUAACAAUUUUGUUCUCUUCAUGGUGAUGUAUCCUAGUUACACAAAGGUAUAAACUUUUCAUAGUUGGGCACACUGGAUAUUAUUAAAUGUAUGUAGUUAUGUCCUUGAGCUGUUCUUGUCUAAUGAUGUUCUGUAUUAUGUCAUUCUGAAGUUUAUGUUUCAUCUUUUGUGUUGGACCCCAGGAAGAGUAGCUGCUGCUUUUGCAACAGCUAAUGAGGAUCCUAAUAAAAUAACAAAUAACAAAUUAUUUUAAUGAGCUCCGCCCCAAACAAGAUCAAAUUAGGUUGGACCAGACCAAAUAUGAAACAAUAGACAUCUAUCUUUCACAAGUUUGGACAUCAAAGUACAACACAGUAGAGUACAGUAAACUUCAGUACAGUAUAGUACAGUACAAUAGAGUUCAGUGCCGUAUAGUACAGCACAGUAUAUUAGUGUGCUCAACUCUAGUGUGGUCUACUGUGUACUGUACUGAAUUCUAAUCUACUGUACAGGACUGUGCUCUCCUAACUUGUGAAACAUGGGCCGAAUCAAGGCCGGUCGGGACCGGACCAAAAAUCAAUGGACGUUGAAAUUAAAGCCGGUCCGGAACAUAUCAAACAACGACGUCUGUGCACACUGAAAUCAAGCCCAGGGCGAACUGACCAAAUGUCAACUACUUUUCAAUGUCUUUGGACAUCCGGAUGCUGGUUACAGUAAAUGGACAGAAAGGGGCUCGUGGGUAGGUGUCUCAGAGAGAUUACAGUAAAUGGACAGAAAGGGGCUCGUGGGUAGGUGUCUCAGAGAGAUUACAGUAAAUGGACAGAAAGGGGCUCGUGGGUAGGUGUCUCGGAGAGAUUACAGUAAAUGGACAGAAAGGGGCUCGUGGGUAGGUGUCUCGGAGAGAUUACAGUAAAUGGACAGAAAGGGGCUCGUGGGUAGGUGUCUCGGAGAGAUUACAGUAAAUGGACAGAAAGGGGCUCGUGGGUAGGUGUCUCGGAGAGAUUACAGUAAAUGGACAGAAAGGGGCUCGUGGGUAGGUGUCUCGGAGAGAUUACAGUAAAUGGACAGAAAGGGGCUCGUGGGUAGGUGUCUCGGAGAGAUUACAGUAAAUGGACAGAAAGGGGCUCGUGGGUAGGUGUCUCGGAGAGAUUACAGUAAAUGGACAGAAAGGGGCUCGUGGGUAGGUGUCUCGGAGAGAUUACAGUAAAUGGACAGAAAGGGGCUCGUGGGUAGGUGUCUCGGAGAGAUUACAGUAAAUGGACAGAAAGGGGCUCGUGGGUAGGUGUCUCGGAGAGAUUACAGUAAAUGGACAGAAAGGGGCUCGUGGGUAGGUGUAUCGGAGAGAUUACAGUAAAUGGACAGAAAGGGGCUCGUGGGUAGGUGUAUCGGAGAGAUUACAGUAAAUGGACAGAAAGGGGCUCGUGGGUAGGUGUCUCGGAGAGAUUACAGUAAAUGGACAGAAAGGGGCUCGUGGGUAGGUGUCUGAGAGAUUACAUUAAUGAGAGAGAGACCAGAAUGUUUUCACACUUGCUUGACCACCUGACGCCAGAAAGAGAAAGAGAACCAGUAUGCCAGUGGAAGGGAGGACCGUAGCAGGUGACCCAACUGUAGUUUGCGACUUCGAUGAUUUCCCAUUGUAGCCAAUUAAAUUGCAGUAAUUCCGUACCAGAUUUUUCAGAAAUUAUGUAAACAGUUUUAAUCACUUAAUAAUUCAGAAACAAAAUAGAUAUCAGUAAAAACACUAGAACUAAUUGAUAGGUCUACCUUUACUUGUUACUUCCGUGAGCUAUCUUCAUCCUCCCUCAUGAGGGAGAGAUAUGUGAAAAUAUCUUAAAAGAUAUGUGGUGUUUUGGUAACAGAAUGUCAAGGUACAAGGCAACGUUUCUUAAACUCACAAGCAAAACUAAAUAUAAGUGUCUGACUUUACUUCGACGU